This 501-nucleotide ribosomal RNA is filed under the name uncultured bacterium. RNAcentral describes it as "partial 16S ribosomal RNA". It matches the Rfam family "Bacterial small subunit ribosomal RNA", at positions 30 to 523 of the family's 1533-position model. The record is from RNAcentral.
AUUGAACGCUGGCGGCAGGCUUAACACAUGCAAGUCGAGCGGGGGAAGGUAGCUUGCUACCGGACCUAGCGGCGGACGGGUGAGUAAGGCUUAGGAAUCUGCCUAUUAGUGGGGGACAACAUCUCGAAAGGGAUGAUAAUACCGCAUACGUCUUACGGGAGAAAUCAGGGGAUCUUCGGAACUUGCGCUAAUAGAUGAGCCUAAGUCGGCUUAGCUAGUUGGUGGGGUAAAGGCCUACCAAGGCGACGAUCUGUAGCGGGUCUGAGAGGUUGGUCCGCCACACUGGGAGUGGGCCACGGCCCAAACUCCUACGGGAGGCAGCAGUGUGGAAUAUUGGACAAUGGGGGGAACCCUGAUCCAGCCAUGCCGCGUGUGUGAAGAAGGCCUUAUGGUUGUAAAGCACUUUAAGCGAGGAGGAGGCUACUUUAGUUAAUACCUAGAGAUAGUGGACGUUACUCGCAGAAUAAGCACCGGCUAACUCUGUGCCAGCCGCCGCCGUAA